UGUGGUAGCCCAAGAGAUUUUGGAAAGGGAAGGUCACACACAUGUGGUAGCCCAAGAGAUUCUGGAAAGGGAAGGUCACACACAUGUGGUAGCCCAAGAGAUUCUGGAAAGGGAAGGUCACACACAUGUGGUAGCCCAAGAGAUUCUGGAAAGGGAAGGUCACACACAUGUGGUAGCCCAAGAGAUUCUGGAAAGGGAAGGUCACACACAUGUGGUAGCCCAAGAGAUUCUGGAAAGGGAAGGUCACACACAUGUGGUAGCCCAAGAGAUUCUGGAAAGGGAAGGUCACACACAUGUGGUAGCCCAAGAGAUUCUGGAAAGGGAAGGUCACACACAUGUGGUAGCCCAAGAGAUUCUGGAAAGGGAAGGUCACACACAUGUGGUAGCCCAAGAGAUUCUGGAAAGGGAAGGUCACACACAUGUGGUAGCCCAAGAGAUUCUGGAAAGGGAAGGUCACACACAUGUGGUAGCCCAAGAGAUUCUGGAAAGGGAAGGUCACACACAUGUGGUAGCCCAAGAGAUUCUGGAAAGGGAAGGUCACACACAUGUGGUAGCCCAAGAGAUUCUGGAAAGGGAAGGUCACACACAUGUGGUAGCCCAAGAGAUUCUGGAAAGGGAAGGUCACACACAUGUGGUAGCCCAAGAGAUUCUGGAAAGGGAAGGUCACACACAUGUGGUAGCCCAAGAGAUUUUGGAAAGGGAAGGUCACACACAUGUGGUAGCCCAAGAGAUUCUGGAAAGGGAAGGUCACACACAUGUGGUAGCCCAAGAGAUUCUGGAAAGGGAAGGUCACACACAUGUGGUAGCCCAAGAGAUUUUGGAAAGAGAAUACAUUAAGGAGAGAUAUGUAGCCAUUGUAGUUUGGAGCUUUUAGUCACUUUAAUCUCUCACAGACAUUUCAAGGACUUAAGUGGAACUUUUUGCUGUACUAAAAGAAAACUAGUCAUCUAAUUUCCUUUGUGUGCCAAUGGAAGUUGCUGAGGGGAGGACGGCCCACCUAUUGCGCUCCAGCCAUUACCAUGAGCACGUCCUCCCCAAUUAAGGUGCCACCAACCUCCUGUGUUGGGUAAAUAACUAAGUGCUCACCACAAACAUACAGACAGUUUAAAACAGAUCCCUUGGCAAGCCAAGUCAGAAACAAAGCAGCCACGCAACCUUCCCGCCUUCCCACCUACACCAAUGUAGAGAAUCAGUGGGUGGCCCCACCAGUACUCAAACCUGGGUCCAGCAACUGUCAAGUCAACAUCUUAGCCAUUAUGCCAGGUGGUCCCUACCUCUUAACCAGCUGAGCAGCACCUCAGAGCGGCUCACACUGACAUACCUGAUUAGCCGGGGAUGAGAGAGAGAGAGAGAGAGAGAGAGAGAGAGAGAGAGAGAGAGAGAGAGAGAGAGAGAGAG
This is a long non-coding RNA of Oncorhynchus keta (chum salmon), 1398 nucleotides long. RefSeq lists it as uncharacterized. The record is from RefSeq and is a predicted model, not a curated record. Lineage: Eukaryota; Metazoa; Chordata; Actinopteri; Salmoniformes; Salmonidae. The transcript is spliced from 6 exons.